UUGAUCCUGGCUCAGAUUGAACGCUGGCGGCAGGCCUAACACAUGCAAGUCGAGCGGAUGAGAAGAGCUUGCUCUUCGAUUCAGCGGCGGACGGGUGAGUAAUGCCUAGGAAUCUGCCUGGUAGUGGGGGACAACGUUUCGAAAGGAACGCUAAUACCGCAUACGUCCUACGGGAGAAAGCAGGGGACCUUCGGGCCUUGCGCUAUCAGAUGAGCCUAGGUCGGAUUAGCUAGUUGGUGAGGUAAUGGCUCACCAAGGCGACGAUCCGUAACUGGUCUGAGAGGAUGAUCAGUCACACUGGAACUGAGACACGGUCCAGACUCCUACGGGAGGCAGCAGUGGGGAAUAUUGGACAAUGGGCGAAAGCCUGAUCCAGCCAUGCCGCGUGUGUGAAGAAGGUCUUCGGAUUGUAAAGCACUUUAAGUUGGGAGGAAGGGCAUUAACCUAAUACGUUAGUGUUUUGACGUUACCGACAGAAUAAGCACCGGCUAACUCUGUGCCAGCAGCCGCGGUAAUACAGAGGGUGCAAGCGUUAAUCGGAAUUACUGGGCGUAAAGCGCGCGUAGGUGGUUUGUUAAGUUGAAUGUGAAAUCCCCGGGCUCAACCUGGGAACUGCAUCCAAAACUGGCAAGCUAGAGUACGGUAGAGGGUGGUGGAAUUUCCUGUGUANCGGUGAAAUGCGUAAAUAUANGAAGGAACACCANUGGCGAAGGCGAACACCUGGACUGAUACUGACACUGAGGUGCGAAAGCUUGGGGAAGCAACAGGAUUAAAUACCCUGGUAGUCCACGC
RNAcentral lists this ribosomal RNA (792 nucleotides) under uncultured bacterium. Its description in RNAcentral is "bacterial SSU rRNA". It matches the Rfam family "Bacterial small subunit ribosomal RNA", at positions 13 to 800 of the family's 1533-position model. The record is from RNAcentral.